This 253-nucleotide ribosomal RNA is filed under the name uncultured bacterium. RNAcentral describes it as "partial 16S ribosomal RNA". It matches the Rfam family "Bacterial small subunit ribosomal RNA", at positions 524 to 776 of the family's 1533-position model. The record is from RNAcentral.
UACGGAGGGUGCGAGCGUUAAUCGGAAUUACUGGGCGUAAAGCGUGCGCAGGCGGCCCGUUAAGCCAGAUGUGAAAGCCCCGGGCUCAACCUGGGAACUGCAUUUGGGACUGGCGGGCUGGAGUUUGGGAGAGGGGGGCGGAAUUCCGGGUGUAGCGGUGAAAUGCGUAGAUAUCCGGAGGAACACCAGUGGCGAAGGCGGCCCCCUGGCCCAAAACUGACGCUGAGGCACGAAAGCGUGGGUAGCAAACAGG